Calidris pugnax (ruff) is the source of this 1110-nucleotide RNA transcript. It is a transcript of the gene named bcl-2-associated transcription factor 1 pseudogene, with no coding region annotated. The record is from RefSeq and is a predicted model, not a curated record. Lineage: Eukaryota; Metazoa; Chordata; Aves; Charadriiformes; Scolopacidae. The transcript has a single exon.
UUUUAUGGUGCUCCUCUAACUUUUUCACUUCAGUAAAAAAAUGAAUUGCAGUCUGAAUUAUCAAAUUUCAUUUGAAUUUGAUGGAAAAAAUGAUUGGUGUAAGAGAAUGUGAAACUGGGUACCAAUUCAGAAAGAACAAACAAACCGCUACCUUUCUUUUUUUAAUAAACUCAAGCAGAGAAUUUCUAGGUGUUCUACAGAAAGGCAUUAUAUCCUGCAGGUGCCCCCAGUAGCACAUAAAUGCCAGUGGGUACAGUGUUAAUGGUGUGCGAAGCAUUGCAUGCUGAAGUUGAAUUGCUCAGAGGAAUGUAUUUUCUUCUUCUUGGUGUGGAAUUGACACAAAAGAGGAAUGCAAGUGAACUGGAAUGAAUGCAAUCCAGAGUUACCAGUCUCUUCUUUGCUAUCCACAGGUACACAGAUGAAGAGUCUAGAGUAUACCUGCUUGAUAGGGGUAAUACCAGGGAGAAGGAGGCCCAGAAGGAGAGAGGAUCAGAAAAAGGGAGGUUAGAGGGAGAAAGGGAAUGGGAGGAACAGGAAACUUUAGAUUUUUUCGUUGAUAAAGAGACUGGGAAAGAAAAAUUUAAUGACUCUGAAGGGGAGGACACAGAGGAGACAGAGGAUUACAGACAGUUCAGAAAGUCUGUCCUGGCAGAUCAGGGUAAAAAUUUUCCUACUGCAUCUCACCGGAAUGCUGAGGAGGAAGGAACCAAAUACAAAUCUAAAAUACCAAUCAAGGGCAAUAGAGAGAGUGAUGGAUUUAGAGAUGAGAAAAGUUAUAAGCUUAAAGAGACUAGCUAUGUAGUGGAAAGGCCUAGUGCAACAAAAGAUAAGCACAAGGAAGAAGACAAGAGUUCUGAGAGACUAAUGAUGAAGAAAGAAACUCAGUCACCUGAGCAGGUAAAGUCUGAAAAGCUCAAAGAACUCUUUGAUUACAGUCCCCCUCUACACAAGAAUCUGGAUGCGAGAGAAAAAUCCACCUUCAGAGAGGAGAGCCCACUUAGGAUCAAAAUGAUAGCCAGUGACUCCCAUCGUCCUGAAGUUAAACUCAAAAUGGCACCGGUACCUCUUGAUGAUUCCAAUAGGUAAAUUAUUCCACUUUACACUGUGGUU